UAAUUGAAGAGUUUGAUCAUGGCUCAGAUUGAACGCUGGCGGUAGGCUUAACACAUGCAAGUCGUGCGAGAAAGUAUCUUCGGAUAUGAGUAGAGCGGCGAACGGGUGAGUAACGCGUAGGAAUGUACCUAGUAGAAGGGGAUAGCCCGAGGAAACUCGGAUUAAUACCGUAUACCUCCUUCGGGAGAAAGAGGGCCUCUCUUUGAAGCUUUCGCUACUAGAUCAGCCUGCGUAAGAUUAGCUUGUUGGUGAGGUAAUGGCUCACCAAGGCUACGAUCUUUAGCUGGUCUGAGAGGACGAUCAGCCACAUUGGGACUGAGACACGGCCCAGACUCCUACGGGAGGCAGCAGUGGGGAAUAUUGGACAAUGGGCGCAAGCCUGAUCCAGCCAUACCGCGUGUGUGAAGAAGG
Molecule: ribosomal RNA, 411 nt
Filed under: SAR86 cluster bacterium
Lineage: Bacteria; Pseudomonadati; Pseudomonadota; Gammaproteobacteria
Description: bacterial SSU rRNA
Rfam family: Bacterial small subunit ribosomal RNA
Source: RNAcentral